This 1468-nucleotide small RNA is filed under the name Arabidopsis thaliana (thale cress). Its description in RNAcentral is "ATSL028240". Lineage: Eukaryota; Viridiplantae; Streptophyta; Magnoliopsida; Brassicales; Brassicaceae. The record is from RNAcentral.
AAUUUCAAUUUUAAAACAACAAACAAAAGGACCUUAGUUGUAUGAAAUCAAUAACACUACCGCUUACUCGAAUUAAGCAAAGUAUAUUAUAUUAUUGGCUCUUCUUAUUAUAUUUUGUUUAUAGUUUUAAAAGUAUGGGUAUGAGAGAACCAAUGAGCGAGAUAAAAAAAAAUGAAUCAAUGCUUGAGGGUUUGAUGCAUUUCAUGUCAACAUCCAUGACUCAGCAAUUAUUGUUUUAAUUCUAAUAAGUGAGGAUGUUACAUUAAUUCUAAUACCUACAUAUCCAUAUGCAAUUACAUUCUUUUUAUUAAAAAUGACAAUGCUUGAGCGUCAUCACCACCAAUUAGUGUCAACUCCUUGAUUUUGAAGCCAAAUAACAAAACUCCAUACCUCAAGCACCGGUUUUGUCUAAUAUUAGUCGAAACAUCAAUUCUUCAUUCCUUCCAUUGAUAUUGACCACGGUGUAAUGAAAUGGGAUUGGACCACUUUCGUUUAAUCUCAUCACGACCGGUCACUAUGAAAUGCCACCAUUUGUUACAUUUGAAAAUCUGGGUUUGCAAUUGUGAUACAAGAAUAUCAUCAUCUAAAUAAAGAGCAACAAAAUCAUCUUCAUAUAUUAUUGAUAUAUUUUUCAUUGAUCCGGAGAUGAAUCGAAAGAGAGGUAUAAUUCCAUCCGUAGAUAAUCCUAAUCCUUCAAGUGAAACUUCCAUACCAUGGGGCAUUGGGACAGUCACCAGUUGAUAAUCGGAAGUUUCGCCGGCAGAGUAAGAACUCACUGGAAACAUAGACUCUACAAAUAAAAAUAUCACAAUCGUACUGAAUUGACAUUAGGACAGUGGAGAACCAUUUUUCAUUCUUCUCCCAAAAUCCAUUAAAUAGAAUCAUUGGUGACACGACUUCAACUAUUCUCUCGGAGGUAAGACCGAAUCGGUGAAGGAUCCAUCAUAGAAGCAUCAACCGGAGAAAAGAGGUUUGAUAGAAACCAAAAAUCUGUAAAUCCAUCAAAAGUUUCCUCAAUUGAGAAUUUAUUUGGAAAAUCUAAUCAAACAAACAAUAACGGGAGUACGGUCGACAUCAGAGUCGACGCUGACCGAAAAAAAGCAUAGAAAGUUGCUUUCACAAGGGGUCGCCUUUUGUCUCUUCUCUUGUAAAUGACUUUAUUAGUUUAAUGGGAGAUGAGUACAUGUGCUAAAAUUCUAAAAAUAAACCAUAAGUAUAAGUUUGCAGUAUCACAUCAAACGAUGUAAGCCCCUUCAUGACAUGUCAUGAUACGUUUAAAUUCUUAAAAUGAAAUAUAAGUAUUCAAAAGUUUGUUCCUAUAAGUUAUUUUAACUUUUUUGUGUUUUAAUUUAACGAAUGAAAAAAUUAUAUUACUAUGUAAAUACAAUUUUAUCUAAUUAAAUUAAUGUAAAAUAAAUUAUAUGUUAUGUUAAACUUCAAUGACCUUUUUAAUUAGUUAUUAUCCAUA